Long non-coding RNA from Passer domesticus (house sparrow), 1010 nucleotides. RefSeq lists it as uncharacterized. The transcript is spliced from 3 exons. Lineage: Eukaryota; Metazoa; Chordata; Aves; Passeriformes; Passeridae. The record is from RefSeq and is a predicted model, not a curated record.
CCUUGUUUUUCCCAAACAUACUUAAAAGUGACCGUUUGAAGUAUUUUUCCACAAGGCUCUGUCAUUCUCAGCCAGCAAUUGUCAAGCCUAUUAGGAAGGGGAACCUAGAAGGCCAAAAAAUUCUCUGCCUUUUUUUUCCUGCUUGCUGCCUGUGAUGUUUGAUCGAAGGCAGCAAUAGAGCUCUGUAUCCCAGAGCCACAUUAUGGAGCCUGACCAAUGGGUUUGGAUUCUUGCAGCCACCCCAGGCACUUCAGCAUCCAGUGCUCCACCUGGCACUGCUGGUGCAGCAUUAACAGCCUCCAGCUCAGCCCGUAACACACCUGAGGAAGAGCAGUCACCAGCAGUGGAUCUUGCCUUUGCUGUGGAGCAAAUGAUCCGGGAGAUCAGGAGAUCCCUAUCUGAAAGGUCUCCCUCUGCCCAGGGCAAUAUUAAUGCUGUGCCUGAGUCUUCAGGAGGUGAGCCUGUGGACAGAGCUGCAGCAGAGGAAGCCUCAUCUGGCACGGAGAGCUGCAGGAACAGUUCCCCAGAGCCCGAGGAGCCUGAUCACAUGUGACCGACCUCUCCAGGAGGGCUGGCCUGUGUGGCAGGAAGAGACAGAGGGAGAGCCUGGAACAUCGGGCAAGUUGAAUUCCUCUGUCUCUAGUUAUAUUUAUAGAUGUAUAUAGUUAUGUUUAUUUAUCUAGGUAGUUGUAUUUAUAGAUUUAUGUGAUUAUAUUUAUCUAUAUAGAUAGAGAUCUGUACAGUUAAUUUAUUUUUGGUUUUACUGGUAUAUCGUUAUAGCUUUAGAUAUGUUGUUGUAGUUAUAGAUGUGCACAGUUGCACUUAUACCUGUGUAUAGUUACAUUUACAUAUAUACAUUUGUAAAUGCCUAUUUAUAUUUGUAUAUGGGGGUUUAGCUACGUAGAUUGAUAUUUAUAUACACCUUUUUUUAACCUCUUGCCCUGUUCUGCUUCCUCGCUCACCUCUUGCUUUCCCCCUGUGCCCCCUGUGUCCCCUCUCCCUGGGCUGGG